This 253-nucleotide ribosomal RNA is filed under the name uncultured bacterium. RNAcentral's name for it is "partial 16S ribosomal RNA". It matches the Rfam family "Bacterial small subunit ribosomal RNA", at positions 524 to 776 of the family's 1533-position model. The record is from RNAcentral.
UACAGAGGGUGCAAGCGUUGUUCGGAAUUAUUGGGCGUAAAGCGCGCGCAGGCGGUCCUUUAAGUCUGAUGUGAAAGCCCACGGCUCAACCGUGGAGGGUCAUUGGAAACUGGGGGACUUGAGUGCAGAAGAGGAAAGUGGAAUUCCAAGUGUAGCGGUGAAAUGCGUAGAGAUUUGGAGGAACACCAGUGGCGAAGGCGACUUUCUGGUCUGUAACUGACGCUGAGGCGCGAAAGCGUGGGGAGCAAACAGG